AGCCGCCAUGCUGGAAGCAUAAAUAGAAGCGGAAGAGAGGAAGACGGUCAUUUGAACACAGCGGAGCGAAGAAAGCAGCAGACCGACCGACGUCUCUCUGACUUUAACCGAUAUUAAAUGUUGCUUCCUGUCUGGCGCUCGUCGGAGGAGGAGAAGGAUGGCGCCACCUGAGCCGUUCGCCUUCGGGUGUCGACAAGGCUGGAUGUGAGAACGUCUGGAUCUUGGUUGAGGUGUUUUCUUCAUCUUCUGGACGCCGUCUCCUGGUGACGUACAGGAGGGUGGACGGUGCCUGUCAGCAGUGCUUUCCUCACUUCUGUCCAUCCAAAGGAACCGCUGAUGUCUGGUCGACCACGAUCGAGGAGCUGCCGUCGUUUCAGAACGUCCAGGCAACGCAUCAUGUAAAAUGUUCCACUGAUCGACAUUGAAUACAGAAUGAAAUAAAAGCAUCAGUGUGAA
Long non-coding RNA from Dicentrarchus labrax (European seabass), 456 nucleotides. RefSeq lists it as uncharacterized. The record is from RefSeq and is a predicted model, not a curated record. The transcript is spliced from 5 exons. NCBI's taxonomy places the organism in Eukaryota, Metazoa, Chordata, Actinopteri, Moronidae.